This 455-nucleotide ribosomal RNA is filed under the name uncultured bacterium. RNAcentral describes it as "bacterial SSU rRNA". It matches the Rfam family "Bacterial small subunit ribosomal RNA", at positions 30 to 482 of the family's 1533-position model. The record is from RNAcentral.
AUUGAACGCUGGCGGCAUGCCUUACACAUGCAAGUCGAACGGUAACGGGCCUUCGGGUGCCGACGAGUGGCGAACGGGUGAGUAAUGUAUCGGAACGUACCUUUCAGUGGGGGAUAACGUAGCGAAAGUUACGCUAAUACCGCAUAUUCUGUGAGCAGGAAAGCAGGGGAUCGCAAGACCUUGCGCUGAUUGAGCGGCCGAUAUCAGAUUAGCUAGUUGGUGAGGUAAAGGCUCACCAAGGCGACGAUCUGUAGCGGGUCUGAGAGGAUGAUCCGCCACACUGGAACUGAGACACGGUCCAGACUCCUACGGGAGGCAGCAGUGGGGAAUUUUGGACAAUGGGGGCAACCCUGAUCCAGCCAUGCCGCGUGAGUGAAGAAGGCCUUCGGUGUAAAGCUCUUUCGGCCGGGAAGAAAUCGUAUGGGCUAAUACCCUGUGCGGAUGACGGUACCGGC